RNAcentral lists this ribosomal RNA (253 nucleotides) under uncultured bacterium. Its description in RNAcentral is "partial 16S ribosomal RNA". It matches the Rfam family "Bacterial small subunit ribosomal RNA", at positions 524 to 776 of the family's 1533-position model. The record is from RNAcentral.
UACGUAGGGGGCAAGCGUUGUCCGGAUUUAUUGGGCGUAAAGAGCGUGCAGGCGGCCAGGUAGGUCCGCUGUGAAAACUCGAGGCUCAACCUCGAGACGUCGGCGGAAACCAUCUGGCUAGAGUCCGGAAGAGGAGAGUGGAAUUCCUGGUGUAGCGGUGAAAUGCGCAGAUAUCAGGAAGAACACCCGUGGCGAAGGCGGCUCUCUGGGACGGUACUGACGCUGAGACGCGAAAGCGUGGGGAGCGAACAGG